Long non-coding RNA from Branchiostoma floridae (Florida lancelet), 1876 nucleotides. RefSeq lists it as uncharacterized. NCBI's taxonomy places the organism in Eukaryota, Metazoa, Chordata, Leptocardii, Amphioxiformes, Branchiostomatidae. The record is from RefSeq and is a predicted model, not a curated record. The transcript is spliced from 2 exons.
GUUACUGCAAGUGCUUUCGUGACGACGUCCGGUGCAUCACCAGCCAGGGCACGCCUGAUUCGACAUAGACAAGGACUGGUUGAACAGUUUAGCUGUGAGUCAGAUGAUGCGUGCAUACGUUCCGGCCCGGCCCUGCUUCUGAAACUGUAUUGGAGGGAGGAAGCAGACCAUAAGACUGUUGAUAGGUGAGUGCAUCCUCUACAACUCGUUCCAACCUGACCCUGCCUGCAUUCUUUUUUAAAAUUCAGGCCACUGUCACUGUUAUUGAACCAUCUCUACCAACGUUGACCUGGUGAAGAUCAGUAAGCAAUAAUUUGACCAUUUAUUCCUGUUACACUUUAGCGCCACAGACAUUACAGUACUCUAUUAACUUCCUCAUAAUUUGUCACCAUUUCUACUCAUUGCAAAACAUAAGGCUUCCUUGUGCCUUUUCAAAAAUAUUUUGAUUAUAAAGCUAGUAGCAAAACGAUGGAAGUCUAGCCAGUCAUUAUUGAUUGUAAUUCACUUUCUUGCAGUCACAAUAGGUUGGGAAGGAGACAUCUCAUAGCAUCUUCCAGGACCUCAUUGAUGCCAUGAAUUCCUGAUCAACUGCAGCUGCAAUGUUCAUGGUGGAACUCAUCCUGGUGAGAGAUCGUCCGACGCCAUCUCAACAUGUACAGUGACGUCCAGAAAGAUCGGUGCUCGUGUGUGAGCCCUGCGAUCUGAGUGAUGUAGCCAGUAGGGCGUUAGGGCAUUUUGUAAAUGGAGGCUCCUUUUGCCCUCAUAGCUAAAGCCCGUUUCUGUGGUGUACAAGCUUGGCGUGUGGCUGAUUUUAUUUCGUGUGACUGUGUCGAUGGCCGGAAUUGUAUUCGGUCAGUUACUGUAAAUUCUGUUCUUUAUAAACAGGGUCUUCCCUGGUUCACCAUCUGUUGUAAUUUCUGUUUUAUGUCAUGGUCAGUGGUUGUCGGGGACCUAGACCAUUACAUAAUCUGCCUCGUGUUGUUUUCUUGGGUCCCGAAACAAGAGAACGGCACAGGCCAGAAAGGAAGGCAGGUGGUUGGAAAGCCUUCUUUUAUUUUAGUAUUUAAGUCCUUUUAGGAAUGCUAGAGUUCGUGGUAUCGUGGUUCGCAGUCACAGAAACCGAAUCAAUACAAACAGAAUGCAAAGUGUACAAUUGUUCAGUUAUCAUGUAUAUCACGAUAGUAGAUACUUGUACAUAUAGUUACGCCUACUUACGUUAUGUGUUAGGUAUAGUUUUCCCAUAUUUUUGAGUGAAGAUCUCGUCUUUUUUUGAGAUGUAGUGCUGUUUAGGCGCCUUUUGUUAGCAGCCUCUGUUUUUGAGUGUAUUUGUUUGAUGCCCUUCCAGUACAGGGGUGGCUGACACUGGAUUGUUUUGUGUGUUUCACUUAUUUUCAUUGUCGCAGAAAAGUUGUCUACAUGUUAGAAUUCAGUAAAUGUCAACAUUGUCCGUUUAUUGUGUAGAAGUUGUAGCCCUUUAAAUCAGUUGUUUGGAAAUUUCCCUAGUAACUGAGGCUAAGGCUGGCGCUGACACUAACACAAGACAAACACAUACACACUAACAGACUAACCCCACCAAACACACACAUUUUUGACGGACACUAAUAAUCAAAAAGCCUUAGACUGAAAAAAAAUCUAUGAUUCUUCAAGUACAAAGGCUCCACGCUACCUCUAUACCAUGUACUGACAAUGUCAAUAUUUACUGAUUUUUAGCUUUCUUUUAUCCACUAUGUCCUAGAGUGAGGGUAACUCUUAACCUAAAUGGGUUAGAUGUGAAGUUCAUUUUUGAUGCUAGAGUAUCUUCAUUUGUUAUGAGGUUUAUAUAUUAUACACUUUGCAUUUCUCUAUUUUGCUAAUAAACAAAUAUGUUGAAAUCGGA